GACGGGGGCCCGGCACAAGCGGUGGAGCAUGUGGUUUAAUUUCGAAGCAACGCGCAGAACCUUACCAACCCUUCGACAUGGAUAUCGCGGUUCCAGAGAUGGAUCCUUCAGUUCGGCUGGAUAUCACACAGGUGCUGCAUGGCUGUCGUCAGCUCGUGUCGUGAGAUGUUCGGUUAAGUCCGGCAACGAGCGCAACCCACAUUCUUAGUUGCCAGCAUUCAGUUGGGCACUCUAGGAAAACUGCCGAUGAUAAGUCGGAGGAAGGUGUGGAUGACGUCAAGUCCUCAUGGCCCUUACGGGUUGGGCUACACACGUGCUACAAUGGUAGUGACAAUGGGUUAAUCCCAAAAAGCUAUCUCAGUUCGGAUUGGGGUCUGCAACUCGACCCCAUGAAGUCGGAAUCGCUAGUAAUCGCGUAACAGCAUGACGCGGUGAAUACGUUCCCGGGCCUU
RNAcentral lists this ribosomal RNA (452 nucleotides) under uncultured Paracoccaceae bacterium. Its description in RNAcentral is "bacterial SSU rRNA". It matches the Rfam family "Bacterial small subunit ribosomal RNA", at positions 912 to 1382 of the family's 1533-position model. The record is from RNAcentral. Lineage: Bacteria; Pseudomonadati; Pseudomonadota; Alphaproteobacteria; Rhodobacterales; Paracoccaceae.